GGUUAAGUGACUAAGCGUACACGGUGGAUGCCUAGGCAGUCAGAGGCGAUGAAGGGCGUGCUAAUCUGCGAUAAGCGUCGGUAAGGUGAUAUGAACCGUAAUAACCGGCGAUACCCGAAUGGGGAAACCCAGUGCAAUUCGUUGCACUAUCAUACGAUGAAUACAUAGUCGUAUGAGGCGAACCGGGGGAACUGAAACAUCUAAGUACCCCGAGGAAAAGAAAUCAACCGAGAUUCCCCCAGUAGCGGCGAGCGAACGGGGAGGAGCCCAGAACCUGAAUCAGUUCUUGUGUUAGUGGAAGCGUCUGGAAAGUCGCACAGUAAAGGGUGAUAGUCCCGUACACUAAAAUGCAUUAACUGUGAGUUCGAUGAGUAGGGCGGGACACGUGACAUCCUGUCUGAAUAUGGGGGGACCAUCCUCCAAGGCUAAAUACUCCUGACUGACCGAUAGUGAACCAGUACCGUGAGGGAAAGGCGAAAAGAACCCCGGCGAGGGGAGUGAAAUAGAACCUGAAACCGUGUACGUACAAGCAGUGGGAGCACCUUCGUGGUGUGACUGCGUACCUUUUGUAUAAUGGGUCAGCGACUUAUAUUUUGUAGCAAGGUUAACCGUAUAGGGGAGCCGUAGGGAAACCGAGUCUUAACUGGGCGAAUAGUUGCAAGGUAUAGACCCGAAACCCGGUGAUCUAGCCAUGGGCAGGUUGAAGGUUGGGUAACACUAACUGGAGGACCGAACCGACUAAUGUUGAAAAAUUAGCGGAUGACUUGUGGCUGGGGGUGAAAGGCCAAUCAAACCGGGAGAUAGCUGGUUCUCCCCGAAAGCUAUUUAGGUAGCGCCUCGUGAACUCAUCUUCGGGGGUAGAGCACUGUUUCGGCUAGGGGGCCAUCCCGGCUUACCAAACCGAUGCAAACUCCGAAUACCGAAGAAUGUUAUCACGGGAGACACACGGCGGGUGCUAACGUCCGUCGUGAAGAGGGAAACAACCCAGACCGCCAGCUAAGGUCCCAAAGUCAUGGUUAAGUGGGAAACGAUGUGGGAAGGCAUAGACAGCCAGGAUGUUGGCUUAGAAGCAGCCAUCAUUUAAAGAAAGCGUAAUAGCUCACUGGUCGAGUCGGCCUGCGCGGAAGAUGUAACGGGGCUAAACCAUGCACCGAAGCUGCGGCAGCGACGCUUAGGCGU
RNAcentral lists this ribosomal RNA (1179 nucleotides) under Serratia sp. PL17. RNAcentral describes it as "partial 23S ribosomal RNA". It matches the Rfam family "Bacterial large subunit ribosomal RNA", at positions 1 to 1221 of the family's 2925-position model. The record is from RNAcentral. Lineage: Bacteria; Pseudomonadati; Pseudomonadota; Gammaproteobacteria; Enterobacterales; Yersiniaceae.